Molecule: long non-coding RNA, 43121 nt
Filed under: Citrus sinensis (sweet orange)
Lineage: Eukaryota; Viridiplantae; Streptophyta; Magnoliopsida; Sapindales; Rutaceae
Description: long non-coding RNA (CSIN_LNC002143)
Source: RNAcentral
CUCCUACUGCUUGGUGCAACAAAGCUCAACCAAAAUCAAUUUUGGCACCAAUGGAAUUGUUUCAGGUUCUGGCGUAGUUUCUACUCCCUUGCUUGCUAAGAAUCCCAAAACCUUCUAUUACCUCACACUCGAUGCAAUCAGUGUAGGAGAUCAAAGAUUAGGUUUUACAUCAGGAUCAACUCCGGGAGGAGACAUUGUAAUUGAUUCUGGUACUACACUAACCUAUUUACCACCAGCUUAUGCCUCAAAAUUGCUUUCAGUAAUGUCCAGUAUGAUAGCGGCACAACCCGUUGAAGGGCCAUAUGAUCUUUGCUACAGUAUUAGUUCACGACCUCAAUUUCCUGAAGUCACAAUACAUUUCAGAGAUGCAGAUGUGAAGUUGAGCCCUUCCAACUUUUUUAUGAAUAUUUCAGAAGACCUUGUGUGUUCAGUUUUUAAUGCUCGCGAUGACAUUCCACUUUAUGGCAACAUUAUGCAGACCAACUUUUUGAUCGGUUAUGACAUUGAGGGACGCACAGUUUCGUUUAAACCAACCGACUGCUCCAAGCAGUAGUAAUUAAGUUGGAUGUGCGUUUUUAGUUUCAAUUUUUAAAAGUUGCAAUAAAUAUUCUCAUCCCAUAUAUGUAUGAUUUGCUGUAUUUUGUUUUGAAUCAAUUAAUUCGGAAAGUACUUUAAAAUCUUAAACAUCAAAAAAGCUCAUUGUAGUAAGGCAGUCACUAGAUUAAGUAAAACACAAUCAGGUCCAUAACAAGAUCCUUCACCGUUAAUUCGGAGAAAAAUUAAGCUUUGCUACAAGCAGGGGUGUAUCAAAAGGAAUUUUCCUCUCAAGACUUGCUAACCAUUGAUUCCGUGAUCGCUGCUUUAUCUUUCAUGUUAGCUAAAGUGUUGGCUAUGGCAUUUUGCCACCUAACUUUUUCAACUAAUUAUGUUAAAGUGAAUACACACGUGAAAAAAAAAUAGACCAAAUGAUUGAGUAUGCACUAAGAGCACUCACAAUUUGAUAGUUGUCGAAGCCAGCAAAAAUAAAUACAUACUUUAAAUAAAUUGUGUAUAGUGAUUGAGUAGGGUCGUGUCCAUAGAGAUCGGUAAUUAUUUAAAUCAUUUUAAAAUAUAAAAUGCAAAAUGAGGGAAUUGUUGACAAUAAUAAAAAUCAAAUUAAAAUAAUAGGAACGCAAAUUCAAAUUGUAAUUCAAAUUGGGGAAAGCUCUGGUUCAAGGAAUUAACUCAGCUUGAUUCGACUACUGAUCAUUAAUUCAAAUAUAAAUUAUUACUACUUAUGAAUAGACCGGUUAUAGCCACUGAGACCCUCUAAUAGCCAAUCUCUCCUUAACUAGUCGAUAAUCAAGGUACGACCGUUGGUUAUUUCCCUAAUCAAUAGACAACCCUAGAUACGAUCAUAGGAUUUAAUCAACUGACAGCCAGAAAAACCAGAGAGACCCAAAUCCUAAUCAACAAACGCAUACGAUGGUUCAUUUAAAUUAGAUUGUCUAUUCUCAUAACACAACGCACUGCUAUGCUAUUUGUCACAAACAUUAAAAUCUUCAUACGAUGAAUCCUUUAAUUGACAAUAGAUUAAUUUGAUAAUUAAAUAGUGGCCAAUUAUCUAAUUAACAAACAUAAUCACGACAAUAAUUCAGAGAAUAAACAAAUACCCAAAAAGUAAUAAAACAAUUAAAGAAUAAGAAAAAUCUCACAGUAGUGACGAAUCAAAACGUCAUUAACCUUCAACUAGAAUAAUAGGUUUAGUUCUUCAUAGAGAGACGAGAAAAAUUUAGAUCUAAGGUUUCUUUCUUUUCCAAAAAUCUCCCCUUUUCACAAUAGAUUUCUCCCUUAAAUACUCUUCUCUCUCUUCUCCUCUAGAGUUCUUUUUAAAAUAAAAUACUAAUAUCUAAAAUAUUAAAUUCGUAAUUACAAAAAUAACCAAAAAUACAAAAUACGUUAAACUAAAAACUGCAGGUCCGUAGUUGACAGCACGCGCCCACGCCUUAUCAACAAAGUUCUUCUGAAGCUCAUAAUUUCUCCAAGAAAACAAUCAUCCUCAAACAUCAUCUUGUAGCUCAAUUUUAGCACCAAUCAAUAGAAUUGCACCUACAAAAAUAAAACACAAGUAAAUCACUAUUAUUAAGUGCAAAACAUCGAUAUUAAAGGAAGUAAAUAAUGCAAAACUAGGGCAUAAAUUGUACUCUAACAAAUUCCCCCACACCAAGAUAAUGCUUGUCCUCAAGCAUAUAACUCAAGACUAAUCCCAAAUCUCCACUCAAUUGUCAUCUCAACUCAUCUGAAAACAAUCUUAAGCAAGCAUACCUCAAGAAUUUAAGUCGAUCAACAUUCGAGAGAUAAGGAUUUUAAAGCAUAGGAUCUCGUAAGCUAAUAUAAAAGAAAAACGAAACCAUCAAAAUUUGUAUUUUCUUUUUAUUUUAAAAAAUAGAAGGGCAAAUAAAUACGCCGUAUUUAUACGCAUACUACUUCGUAUGUCACAUAUAUUUCACACAAGGACUGAUAUCUGAACUUCAAUACUGGUUAUAUAUGGAAGAUAGCAAGAAAAAUUUACAAGCCACAUCUCUAAUCAAUCUAUAAAAUAUUGGAAAUGAGGGGUGAGCCGUCAACUCGGUAAGCAAAUCCAUGCAUAAUAUUUGAAAACCUUGUCAUUUUACCUUUAAACAUUUUAUAACAUCUUCAUCUAGCACAAGGGGUGAAUUCAUGUAAAAGUAUUAAAAAUAUUAAAACGUUCAUAAAAAGAUUAAAACAUAAAUAUUAGUAGCUCAUGUCUCGUAGUCAUUAUCAUUCAUCACUCAUCAUUUAGGGUGUUAUACCCUGCAUUGUUCCUCAUUCAGGGUACUAUACCUCACAUUGUUCAUAACAUCCUUGUGCACAAGAUCAUCAUCAUACCAGCAAGCUGGCCAUAGCAUUACAUAACAUCAUAAUAUUAGCAUCAUUUACAUUACUACGGACUAUGAGCCAAAACAUUUUUUAAUCCACCUUACAUUCUUUCAUAAAUAGCAUUUAAAGUUUUCUAAAACAUUUAAGAACCUUUCUUUGAUCAUUUAAUUCUUUUGGAAAAAUUUUUAAGGAAACUGCUGUACCGUACAUCCGCCUUGGCCGUACAGCAGGAAAAAUGGGUAAGUAGAUGGAGAGAAUUAGAUGGGUAAUGGUUAAGGCUCAGACAAAGAUAACAAAUAAAAGUCUUCGGGUGGAGAAAAAGAAGAAAAAUGCGAGAAUAGAAAAAUGGAAUACCGUUUCCCUUAUCAUUUUAAUGCAUAAAAUCCCGUAAUGCGGCUUCAACAUGCAUAACAAAGCAAGUUCUAGAAUAAACAAACUAAGAUUGAUAUUCACAUAACAAAAGUAAUUAGAGCAAAGUGGUUGCUCAUAGGCUCAAAUCCUCACAAAGUUGGUAAAUUUUCCAUCAAAUCAUGUACACUCUUCAAAUGAAUCAACCAUCAAUAGUGGUGUAGAAUGAGAAGAAGGUAGGAAUGAUAUAUAAAAGGAAAGGUGAAAAUGAUAAGAAGCGAGAAAGAUGUAUGUAGUAAUGUAAAAAGUGAAAGAUAAAAUGUGAGUGAUGAAAGAAUAUGAUAGAAUAAAAAUAAAUGUAAAUAAUUUGAGAUAGAUGGGAAAAGAGUAGUGAGAAAGAAAAGAAAAGAAAAACAAUAAUAUAUGAAGCAUACUAACUCCAAAAUCAUUUAAGGAUAAGUAGAGUGAAAAUAAUAUUUCCAGACAUCAAUAUAGCAAAAAUCCCUCCCCCACACCAAGAACUUACAUUGUCUCCAAUGUAAGAUAAUCAAAGCUCACAUAAAUAAAAUAAAAAAUAAAGCGUAAGGAUAAAAGUUUAAAGGCAAAACUUCCCUGAAUUGUGAGCUUUGAUCCACAUAACGUCUAUGGGCUUGGCGGAAAUGGUGGGAUAAAUCCCACACUCUCGAAGUAUACGGCCAAAUUCUGCUCCAUCUUGUUCAGCUUGUGCUCCAUUUUCUCCAACUGAAUGCUCAAAGGUGGUGCAUAUGCAGAAGGAAUAGUUGGUGGGGCAAUAGUUUCGUCGUCAAACUCGUCAUCAGAGGUAGCACCACUCCUAGCAUAAAGCUUCUUUGGAAGUUGAGUGGGUCCUGGUUCAGUAAACUGAAAUCUCCCCUCCUUGAAUUCGACCACACCUGUUCUUUCAAACACAGACAUAUCCAAAAAUUCAUUUUUGCAAAUAAAAUUCAGUUUUAGAGAAAACUCCCGAGUGAUCUUUUUUUUCUAAAAAAUUAUAUGCUAAGAACUGAUGCACACAUUUCAAAACAGGAUCACGUAAGAAAUAGCUCUUUGAUUUAUUCGGUACAGCAGACACAUUUCAAAACAGGAUCACGUAAGAAAUAGCUCUUUGAUUUAUUCGGGUCAUAGGCAUUGUGAUCAAAAGAUAAAUUACGCCAAAAAUCAUAAGGCUCAAAAUUUUUGCUAAAGUCACAAGUUGUUCCUAAAUAUGCAUCAAGAUAAAUUACGCCAAAGACCAUAAGGCUCAAAAUUUUUGCUAAAGUCACAAGUUGUUCCUAAAUAUGCAUCACUAGAAGAAUAAUCAUCAUCAAUGAAUCCUAAAGCUAGGUUAAAAUAUGUGAUAGAUUGUGAAAAAUUUAGUCCCAUUAACCUAAACUUUAUAACAUCCGGAAUAUGCAAAGUAAAAUCAUUUGGUAUAUUAAAUUGAAAAGUAGCAUAGAACUCCCUAAUCAACUCAACAUAACCCAAACAAUCAACAUCAACAAACUUACGCAAACCAAUCUUAUCUAUCAAAGAAUCAAAAUUAUCCUUAACAUUCAAUUUUUCAAGAGUCGGGUAAUGAAUAUACUUAGCUGGAAGUAUUUUUCGCUUGGAAAUAUCUUUGUACCUUUCUUUCUCUUGUUGAGUCGUAAAUGUAAGGCACCCUCCGAGAUUGGAUUCAACAAGUGGCAAAACACUCAUGUCUUUUCUAUGUUUCGAUCUUUGUCUCACGGCUUGGCGUGAAUCUGAAACUGUGUUCCAUGGAAUCGUAGUGGGAGCGGCAAUCUUGGAUUUCUUUGCGACGGGUGUAUUUUUAGAUGACUUGGAAGUUGAUGCUUUCCUCUUCGGCAUUGUCACAAUAAUUUCACUCACGGGUAAAGAUUCACGCGGCUGGAAUGCUGGGCAUGGACUGCUUGCGAAUGCAGCUGGGAUUUGGGAUGCACGACUGCUGGUGAUUGCAAACACGCGGCUGUUGGUUGCGCGCGCGGGAUGCUGAGAUGCGUGGGCUGGUGCUGCGCUGGUGGGCUGGAGCUGGGCGUGGGUUGCUGGUGAUUGCACUGGUUGGAGCUGGGCGUGCAUGGGCUAGUGACUGCAGGCACGCGGCUGGUGGUUGUGGAUGCGAGAUGCUGCGCUGCUGGUUACAGACGCGAGAUGCUUGCGCGCGCGGCUGGUGAAGGCUGGUGAUGUGAGAUGGUUGGUGAGCGCAGCUGCUGCUCUGGUGCUGCGCUGCUGGUUGCGCAGAAUUCUUUUGGACUGGUUGCAUGCGCGGGACGGAGCUAGAGACGCAGCGCGCGAUGCACGGUGGAUGCUGUUUGGUGGGCUGGAGCUGCUGGAGGUGGCUGUUGCGGGAUGGUAGGAUGAUAGGAACAAAUUUUUUUUUCAAUUAGGGAUUUAUUAAUAGUGAAAACAAUUUUUUUUUUCAAAUAAAAUAAAAAAACCUCUUUUUUAUUGAAACUAAAAAAAAGUAAAUAAAAAAAAGUUUUUUAUUUAAAAAAAAAGUUUUUUUAUUUUUUUUUAAACUAAAAACUAAAAGAGACACUUGAGACACCAAAAAAAUUACAGAAGUACUUUUUAGUUAAGACGUGGGCACGCCUAAAAACCAUUUUACUUUAAAAUUACAGAAGUACUUAUUAGUUAAGACGUGGGCACGCCUAAAAACCAUUUUACUUUAAAAUCACAGAAGUGCUUAUUAGUUAAGACGUGGGCACGCCUAAAAACCAUUUUACUUUAAAAUUACAGAAGUACUUAUUAGUUAAGACGUGGGCACGCCUAAAAACCAUUUUACUUUAAAAUCACAGAAGUGCUUAUUCGGAGUAUGCAAAGUAAAAUCAUUCGGUAUAUUAAAUUGAAAAGUAGCAUAGAACUCCCUAAUCAACUCAACAUAACCCAAACAAUCAACAUCAACAAACUUACGCAAACCAAUCUUAUCUAUCAAAGAAUCAAAAUUAUCCUUAACAUUCAAUUUUUCAAGAGUCGGGUAAUGAAUAUACUUAGCUGGAAGUAUUUUUCGCUUGGAAAUAUCUUUGUACCUUUCUUUCUCUUGUUGAGUCGUAAAUGUAAGGCACCCUCCGAGAUUGGAUUCAACAAGUGGCAAAACACUCAUGUCUUUUCUAUGUUUCGAUCUUUGUCUCACGGCUUGGCGUGAAUCUGAAACUGUGUUCCAUGGAAUCGUAGUGGGAGCGGCAAUCUUGGAUUUCUUUGCGACGGGUGUAUUUUUAGAUGACUUGGAAGUUGAUGCUUUCCUCUUCGGCAUUGUCACAAUAAUUUCACUCACGGGUAAAGAUUCACGCGGCUGGAAUGCUGGGCAUGGACUGCUUGCGAAUGCAGCUGGGAUUUGGGAUGCACGACUGCUGGUGAUUGCAAACACGCGGCUGUUGGUUGCGCGCGCGGGAUGCUGAGAUGCGUGGGCUGGUGCUGCGCUGGUGGGCUGGAGCUGGGCGUGGGUUGCUGGUGAUUGCACUGGUUGGAGCUGGGCGUGCAUGGGCUAGUGACUGCAGGCACGCGGCUGGUGGUUGUGGAUGCGAGAUGCUGCGCUGCUGGUUACAGACGCGAGAUGCUUGCGCGCGCGGCUGGUGAAGGCUGGUGAUGUGAGAUGGUUGGUGAGCGCAGCUGCUGCUCUGGUGCUGCGCUGCUGGUUGCGCAGAAUUCUUUUGGACUGGUUGCAUGCGCGGGACGGAGCUAGAGACGCAGCGCGCGAUGCACGGUGGAUGCUGUUUGGUGGGCUGGAGCUGCUGGAGGUGGCUGUUGCGGGAUGGUAGGAUGAUAGGAACAAAUUUUUUUUUCAAUUAGGGAUUUAUUAAUAGUGAAAACAAUUUUUUUUUUCAAAUAAAAUAAAAAAACCUCUUUUUUAUUGAAACUAAAAAAAAGUAAAUAAAAAAAAGUUUUUUAUUUAAAAAAAAAGUUUUUUUAUUUUUUUUUAAACUAAAAACUAAAAGAGACACUUGAGACACCAAAAAAAUUACAGAAGUACUUUUUAGUUAAGACGUGGGCACGCCUAAAAACCAUUUUACUUUAAAAUCACAGAAGUGCUUAUUAGUUAAGACGUGGGCACGCCUAAAAACCAUUUUACUUUAAAAUCAUAGAAGUACUUAUUAGUUAAAACGUGGGCACGCCUAAAAAUAAAUAAAUCCUUUGGGUUGCCUCCCAAAAAGCGCAUUUGUUUUAUGUCUUUGGCUAGACACAUUCAUGCAUCAAUCUCUAUAAAUGGGACUCUCGAGAGCCACAUCCUCCACAAUAUUCACCGAAAAACCUUCAUAAAAAGGUUUUAAGCGAUAACCAUUAACCUUAAAAACUUUGUCAGAGGUCGGACUCCGAAUCUCAACUGCAUCAUGAGAAAAAAUAUUAGUAACAAUAAAAGGUCCUACCCAGGGAGAACGUAAUUUAUCAGGAAAAAGUUUAAGCUUAGAAUGAAAAAGAAGAACUUUUUGACCAACAGAGAACUCCUUUCUUAAAAUCAUUUUGUCAUGAAAUGUCUUCGUCGUUUCCUUGUAAAAUCGUGAACUCUCAUAGGAUUCGUUUCUAAUCUCCUCCAACUCUUGCAGCUGUAACUUCCUCUACGGACUUAUCCCUUUGAUAUCAGUAAUUGUCCACUCAAUAGCCUUUUUGUAAUCCUUCAGCACUCUAAUAAUUUGAUAUCUCAGCUUGUCCACUUGUCUGUGGAUGAUAGGUGGUAGACACUUGGUGGGUAACAUGAUAUCUCUUGAACAAAGCCUCCACCACCCGAUUACAGAAAUGAGUGCCUCUAUCACUUAUCACCGCUCUCGGUAUACCAAACCUGGUAAAAAUAUUAGACUUGACAAAAUCUACAACAAUUUUAGCAUUAUCAGUCCGGGUAGCCUUAGCCUCUACCCACUUAGAAACGUAAUCCACUGCUAAAAGAAUGUAAGAAUUGCCAAAAGAUGAGGGAAAAUGUCCCAUAAAAUCAAUGCCUCACACAUCGAAUAUUUCACACACAAGAAUAGGGGUAAAUGGCAUUUGAUUCCUAUGACUUAAAUUACCAGUCUUUUGACAAUUCUCACACGACUUACAAAACAUGUAUGAAUCACGAAAUAAAGUAGGCCAAAAUAAACCACAUUCUAACACCUUGGAUGCUGUCCUUUUGGGACCCAAAUGACCACCACAUGCAUAUGAGUGACAAAACUGAAGAAUAUAAGGAAUUUCAAACUCAGAUACGCACCUUCUGAUGACUUGGUCAGAGCAAUGUUUCCACAAGUAAGGGUCAUCCCAAACAUAGUACUUAACAUCGCUCUUAAUCUUAUCUAUUUUAGCCCUCGUCAGAUCACUAGGUAGUGUUCUUGUAACUAAGUAAUUGACAAUGUCAGCGUACCAAGGAACCAUACCUUGAGUUACAAAGAGAUGCUCAUCUAGAAAAUCAUCCUUCAAAGGUGUUGCUUCUUCACUCGUGGUCAAUAUACUAAGGUGGUCUGCAACCAAGUUUUAUGCUCCUUUCUUGUCACGAAUCUCUAAGUUGAACUCUUGAAGUAGUAGGAUCCAGCAGAUGAGUCUCGGUUUCACCUCCUUUUUGGCGAGGAAAUAUCUGAGAGCUGCAUGAUCAGAAAAAAUAAUCACUUUAGUACCCAAUAAAUAUGAACAUAAUUUUUCUAAAGGAAAAACAAUACCCAAAAGUUCUUUUUCCGUUAUUGAGUAAUUGCACUGAGCACUAUCAAGUGUCAUUGAUGCGUAAUAUAUCACAUGAGCAGCUCUUCCAACCCUUUGUCCGAGAACAGCACCAACAGCAUAAUUACUGGCGUUGCACAUUAUCUCAAAAUGGAGGUUCCAGUCGGGUGGCUGUAUAAUUGGAGCUGAAGUCAAUAACUUCUUGAGCUUAUCAAAUGCUACCUUGCAUGCUUCAUUAAAAUCAAACGUCACAUCUUUCUAAAGCAGCUUGCAUAAAGACUGAGCUAUCUUUGAAAAAUCCUUGAUAAAACGUCGAUAGAAACCUGCGUGACCAAGGAAAGAACGAACUUCCCGUACACAUGUGGGAUAAGGUAAAGAUUUAAUAACAUCUAUCUUAGCUUUAUUUAUCUCAAUUCCUCUAGCAGAGACUACAUGACCCAAAAUAAUGCCUUGAUCUACCAUAAAAUGACAUUUUUCAUAAUUCAAGACAAUGUUUGUUUCAAUGCAUCUUUCAAGCACUUUCUUCAGAUUAUAGAGACAAUCAUCAAAAGAAUCAGCAUAGACUGUAAAAUCGUCCAUAAAUACCUCUAUAAUAUUCUCUACAUAGUCUGAAAAAAUAUUGACCAUGCACCUCUGAAAAGUGGCGGGAGCGUUACAAAGACCAAAUGGCAUACGUCGGUACGCAAAGGUUCCAAAAGGACAUGUGAAGGUAGUCUUCUCCGGAUCCUCAGGCGCAACUGGUAUCUGAUGAAAACCUCAAUAGCCAUCAAGACAAAAAAAGUAAGAUUUUCCUGCCAAUCUUUCAAGCAUCUGAUCAAUAAAAGGAAUAGGAAAAUGAUCCUUCCUAGUGAGUGAAUUAAGCUUUCUAAAAUCAAUACAAACCCUCCAUUCAUUCUGAACUCGGGUGGGUACUAACUCACCAUAAGAAUUCUCAACAAUUGUUAUACCAGUUUUCUUCUGUACCACUUGUAUCAGACUUACCCAUUUGCUAUCCGAAAUUAGAUAGAUUAUACAUGCAUCAAGAAGUUUCAGAAUUUCUUUAUUUACUACUUCCAUCAUGAGUGGAUUCAAACGGCGUUGAGCUUGAAUCGAAGGUUUGGCAUCUUCCUCCAGCAGUAUUCUGUACGGUACAGCAGAUACAAAAUUUAAAACAAACUCAUUUUCAUCAUUUUGCAAUCUUUUGAGGCCCAAACUGUUAUUUAAAGCAGCUACUAAUGAAUCUUCAACAUCCAAAUUAAAAACUUCCUGCACUAUAGGGUUAAUAACAUCCACAUAAAAUACUGAAUGUUCCUCACUAGGAUAUUUCAUGGCAUCAUUCAUGUUGAACUCUAUAACCUCUCCAUCAAACUCCAUAGUGUGAAUCCCUUUAUGUACAUCCAUUUUAGUCCUAGCAGUCUUAAGAAAAUGUCUUCCUAGCAAAAUUGGGAUAGAAUUAGAGGAGUUAUCCUCUUCCAGAUCAAGUACAUAAAAAUCAGUAGGAAAAACCAACUCAUUAACUUGUACUAAGACAUCUUCUAAUACCCCAUCAAGAUAUGCAUUAGACCUAUCAGCUAGUUGAAUUAUCACGCCGGUUUCUUUUAAUGGACCAAUAUUCAAAGAUGAAUAAAUGGAACGAGGCAUGACAUUAAUAGAAGCUCCUAGAUCUAACAUAGCCUUUUCAACUCUAACACUACCAAUUUUACAAGGGAUAGUAAACAUACCUGGAUCUUUGCACUUAGGAGGUAGUUUCUUUUGGAGAAUUGCUGAAACAUUCUCCCCCAUGUGAACUCUUUCAUCUCCUCUUAAUUUUCUCUUAGAGGUGCACAGUUCCUUAAGGAAUUUAGCAUAUCGAGGUAUUUGUUUUAUAGCAUCUAAUAAGGGAAUAUUUACCUCAACCUUGCGAAAUAUCUCAAGGAUGUCUUUCUCUUGUUCCUCCUUCUUGAAUUUUGCAAACCGGCUUGGAAAAGGAGGAGAUAUCACCACAGGUAGGGGUUUUGCUCUGGUGGGUUGUGCAUCUUGAGAUUUAGGCAUCAAUUCAUUCUUGUCAAGCUCAUCUUCUACAUGCUUUGUCACUUUCUUACUAGGCUCUUGCAACUCCUUCCCACUUCUAAGGAUGACAGCACUAGCAUUUUGAUUUGGAUUCACCUCAGAUUGUGAAGGCAAUCUCCCUGAUACUUGAGACUCUAGACGACUCAUUGUAGUCGCCAAUUGACUCAUUUGAGGCCUAACUCCAUAGCUGAAGUUGGGAUGAUCCUUCCAUCCCGGAUUGUAUGUUUGUGCAUAAGGAUCAUACCUCCUCUGAGGCAUGCCUAGAAAUCCUCCAACUGCAUUGGCUUGUUCAACGAGUUCUUCUUGAAGUGUAGGACACAUAUCAGUUGAAUGACCUAUAUUGGAAUAAAUGUCACAAGUCUUCACAUGUUGCACAUUACCUACAACAAACUUUUCCACAAGAGAAGUAAGUUUAUCCAAACGUUGUUCAACAGAAGAAAUAUUUACCUCAUUCACCUUCCUUGAAGUGGGAUCUUGCCUGCUGCCAAAUUGUUGUGCAUUGGCAGCCAUAUUUGAAAUCAACACCCUUGCUUGAGUAGGGGUCUUGUUCACCAACACACCUCCACUAGGAGCAUCUAUCAUACUCCUAUCCAUCAAUGACAGUCCUUCGUAAAAAUAUUGAAUAAGAAGUUGAUCACAAAUCUGAUGCUGAGGACAACUGGCACACAAUUGUUUGAAUCACUCCCAAUACUCAUACAAAGUCUCCCUAGGAAGUUGUCUGAUCCCACAAAUGUCUUUUCUGAUGUUGGCAGCUCUUGAAGCUGGAAAGUACUUCUCAAGGAACUGCUUCUUCAAACCAUUCCAUGUUGUAAUCGAUCUAGGAGGCAAGUAGUAUAACCAGCCUUUAGCUAGCCCAUCUAAAGAGAAAGGAAAAACACGCAGCUUAAUCUGCUCUUCAGUCACGCCUUGUGGCCUCAUACUUGAACACACAACAUGAAACUCCUUGAGAUGUUUAUGAGGAUCUUCACCUGCAAAAUCAUGAAACUUGGGUAAUAAAUGAAUAAGAUCAUACUUUAAUUCAAAAUUUACCUCCAAGUCUACAUAUUGAAUGCAGAGUAGUUGCUGAUUCAAGUCUGGUUCAGCUAACUCUCUAAGAGUUCUUUCUACAGGUGCAGCUCUAUCCAUCACUUGUUCUUCUGAAUCGCUAGAUGAUUCAACCAAAUUAGGUACCGUAUUUGUUUCAGAAAGCAAAGGCGACAAUGAUCGUUGCUUAGCUCGCUUCGUCUGCUGUCUCAGCUGGUGAGCUGUCUUCUCAAUUUCAGGAUCAAACGAAAGUGUACCUGUACGAGAAGAACGAACCAUACACCAAGUAAAACGUAAAAAGGAUUAAAUAAAUGACACCAAUCCCCGGCAACGGAGCCAAAAUUUGAUAGUUGUCGAAGCCAGCAAAAAUAAAUACCUACUCUAAAUAAAUUGUGUAUAGUGAUUGAGUAGGGUCGUGUCCACAAAGAUCGGUAAUUAUUUAAAUCCUUUUAAAAUAUAAAAUGCACAAUGGGGGAAUUGUUGACAAUAAUAAAAAUCAAAUUAAAAUAACAAGAACGCAAAUUAAAAUUGUAAUUCAAAUUGGGGAAAGCUCUGGUUGAAGGAAUUAACUCAGCUUGAUUCGACUACUGAUCAUUGAUUCAAAUAUAAAUUAUAACUACUUAUGAAUAGACCGGUUAUAGCUACUGAGACCCUCUAAUAGCCAAUCUCUCCUUAACUAGUCGAUAACCAAGGUACGACCGUUGGUUAUUUCCCUAAUCAAUAGACAACCCUAGAUACGAUCAUAGGAUUUAAUCAAUUGACAGCCUGAAAAACCAGAGAGACCCAAAUUGAAACGACCCGUCCCGCACCCCCAGGGUGAGUCUAUCUAAACUCAUAUAAUCGAAUCGAUAAUAAUUAUGAUAUUUAAGAGUUCUAUCAAAAAUUCGACAGAAUCUCCCCUAUAAAUAAAACAUUCCCAAACCUGCAAUUUACAAAACAAUACUCCCAAAAAUAACUCAAUAUCCAUUCAUCCUUUAUAACCAACUUCUCAAGUCAACAUACCAAAUAUCACCCAAAUCAUUCUAAUAUUAAAAUACAAUGGUUAUCCUUAAUUACAAAAUAUAACAAAUAAAUACAAUUCGCAAUAUCCCAAAUAUCAAAAUAUUAAAUCUACGACUUCUAGCACCAUCACGUGGCCACAAUUUCAAAUCUAACUAUCGUUGCUGGGUCGACUGAUGUACCUGCAAAUCUCCUGUAGGGGGAAAAAUAUAAUAAAAACGGUGUGAGUAUAAAACUCCGUGAGCUCAGUGAGUGGAUAGUAGUUUUUGAAAAAUAAAUUUAUUUAAAAUGAUUUAAUCUUUAUCAAAUCAAUUUCAUCAAAAUAUCAUAAGAACUUAUAUAAACAUAUUCAAUUCAAAUCAGUCACUGAAAUAACUAUAUUAUAUACAUCUGCAUAAAAUCAAUGAAAUCAUAAUACUUAUAAUAUCAAAUACUGAAUACCAAAAACUAUCAUCAAACAAGUACCCAGGGGAAUGAUCUCAUCAUAUCCGGACCUCGACGGACGGGCAAUCAGGGAACCAUCAUGCCCCGGAGCUACAACGGAUAGACGGGGAAAUCUCAUCUCAUAUCUCAUGUAUCUCAACAUUUGUAUCUCUGUAAUCAGCAUACUGCAUGCAUAAGCCCCUAAAAGGAAAAAGCGCCCAAACACUCGGCCCAAAGCCUCUAUGUGUGUUCAGAUGGGCCCCAAAUGCCUCUAUCUCAUCUCAUUUGUAUCUCUGUAUUCAUCUCGUAUUAUCUGUAUCUUUGUAUCUGGAGGGGAAGGGUACUGUCCAAUGAUUUUCCAAACAACAUUUAUACACAUGUACAUAAACAUAUAAUCACAUCUGAAAUCUCAUUUUCUUUUUAUUCAACAUAUCUCAAAUCCACUCAAUUCUAAUAUCAUGCAUUUACUCAAAAACGAUAAUAAAAUCAUUAAUCAACUCAUUCUUAAUAACAAUAAAUAUCAUUACGGAGAUAAAAAUCAAUUUUCUAGAAAAUCAUUAAAUCGAAGCAUCAAAUACUUAUUACCAAAACAUGUUGUACUGUAUGGUAAAAUCAUAAUAUACUAUGAAAAUAAGUUUUGUAUAUUCCACUCACAGUGACGAAGUCCACACUCGGUAUCUACAACGUCCGCGGGUUGAUUCUUGUUCGCGGAUCCUACUAAUCAAGGAAACGACAUAAUCAUUCUCCGUAAAUUUGAAAUACAACUAAUUUAACAUAAUAAUUCUCGAAACGAAUAUCUAUCCACAAUAAACUAUUCCCGCAUGCACAAAAUUACCAAAAUACCCCUACAUGCCAAAAUUACCUAAAUGCCCUCAACAUCAUUAUUUUACCAAAAUUAUCCUUAGAAUCUUCAAUUACUAAAUUGUCCUCAAUUCAGAUCAUGAAAUUACCAAUGUCAAAAAUUAUGAAAUUACCCUCGGAAUCUCAAAUUACCUCACUGCCCUAACCUAAAAUUACCAAAUUAUCCACUGAUUCCACAAAUUACAAAUUCACCCUAAAGUUUUAUGAAUUUACCGAAUUUCCCCUACCGGUCAACGGUGACCAGACUUCAGUCAACGACGACGAGAAGCUUAGGUCUGAUAGUUCAGACCUCGGUGAGUCCAACAGUGCCGGCGGUGACCUCCCACGUGCGGCGAUGGCAGCAGAUCGUGCUCCCAAAGCCGUGAGCUUUCCGGCGGUCGUUCACGGCCAAAAUGGAGGUUUUAAGUGGCGGGGUUGGUCGGAAAUGAAAGCUGGUGACGUGAGGAUAUAACCUUUACCAAAAGAGAAUAAUUGAGUUUAUUUAUAAAUAGCUUAUGAGUAUUUUUUUCUUUCGAACAAAAUAAUUUUAUUUCUGUUAAUUGUUGUUUCUCUAAUGGCUGGAUAUUGGCAGCUAAUUUUUUUUUUCUUUUCCAUGUAUUCAUAUGUAGAUUUGAUCAAUGUGUUUAAAGUGUUUAGUGGUCAGAUAUGGACAGAGACUAAUUUUAUGUAUUGAAUUUGGAUUAUUUAGUUAUGAGAGUAGGAUAUCUCAUAUUUUUGUUAUUGAAGUUUUGGAAUUUGUAAUAUAUACUAAUAAUAUUUAAAUGUGAAAUGAAAGAUUUUGUGAUAUAAAUCAAUUUCUUUUUGUUAUUUUGUGGUGCCUUUUAAUUUUACCAACAAAUCAAUAGGCAAUUAUCCAAUUCAAUUUUUUAUUUUUUAAAAUAAAUUAACUAGUGAUACCAUGGUAACAGUAAUCAUAGACACUAAUAAAAUAUCAAUAACUACUAACACUAUGGUGUCAUAAUAUCGGUGAUACUGUAGUAAUAGUAAUCACUGACACCACUUACAAGUGUCACUAUUUUUCUGACUCCCAGAUUACUGACACAAUUAACAAGUGUCAGUGAAAGUAAUUUCUGACACUAUUCUAAAGUCAGUAAAGACCAUUUUUCUAGUAGUGCUAGCUAAACCUGACAAAAGCAUUAGUAAUGUAGCCUCAUGUUUGAAGCACCAAACUGUUGCAUUAAGUGCAAUUGAGCUCAUUAGCCAAACCCGUCAUUUUCUCAGUGAUUAUGUUAUAACAAUUGUAUCACUUUAUUACUUUGUAAUUAUCUUAUAAUAUGUAUAAACUUUUAUUCUAUCAUCCUAAGAUGAUUUUUCAACUAAUCUUUAAGAUUUUAACUAUUUAUUUAUGUUGUUAAAUUAAGGCUACAAGCUUUAGAAGAAUUAUGACAUUUUUAACAUUAUUUAAUAAAAAUGUUAACACUUUUAUAUUUAGUAUUUUUUUAAGUACUAAUAAAUAUUAUUUUCUAAAUAUAUAAUUUAAAUUAAUCACAAAAAAUUAAUAUAGUACAAUAUAACACCAAACAUUGUACAACAUUAUUAUAAUACAGUGCUAAUACAAUACAUCUACAUUAAAAUAAUACAAUACAACAUAAUACAAUACAGUGUGCCAAAUGCACCCUAAGAUUAUACAGCAAGUCGAAUAUUUUAUUUUUCUUUUCAUUUUUGAGAAUGCCACCUAGUUGAGCUUGGAGAUAGUAAAAUCUCUAGUGUGAAAAACAUGCGAACUAAAAAUUAAACCCGCUCACAUAGAUCAUAAGGAAUUGAGUUCCAAUUAAGCUGAAUAAUAUCAAUAAUAACAAAAAAAAACUAUACAGGAUGUAGAGGCUUAUUAAAGCCAGGGUAUGUAAAAUUGUUGUGCUUCGAUUAAUUUUGAAAUCACAAUAGUUGUCAAUUGAAAAGCAACAACUGUUGGAGAAAAUUUAGUUUUUUAAAUUUUUAUAAAAAUUUUUAGGUCGAUAUAAUAUAACAUACAAGAAUUCGUAAUCUAGAAAUCGUACCUUAAAAAUCUGAGAAAAUGAACAAUCUUUGCUUUUUCCGCUGAAGUGAUAUAGGCUCCCAGGUCAAGAUCCGUCACCACCACUCCUAUUAGAUCACGAUCGAUCCGCUACUAUAGGGCUGAAAAACUCUUGAUAAUCUACUCCUUCAGUUUGUAAGAAAUCCUUUGCUACUAACUUCGCUUUAUAUCUAUUUAUUAUUCCAUCUGAGUUUUGUUUUACUCUAAAAAUCUAUUUAUUUCCCAGAAGUUUCAUAUUUUGUUCUGGUGGAACCAAACACCAGGUCUGAUUCUUUAUUAGAGCAUGAAACUCAUCCUGCAUGGCUAGCUUCCAGUUUUUAUCACUUAAAACUUCAGUAACACUUGAUGGUGUCUCUAGAGACAAUGCUUUUUCAAUAUUGUAGGCUUUAGGCUUAAAGAUUCCAACUUUGGCUCUAGUUAUCAUAGGAUGUGAAGGGUUGAGUUUAGGAAUCUGCUGUACCGUACAUCCGCCUUGGCCGUACAGCAGAGCUAACCUGGGGAUCAUUUGGGUACAUACAAUAGUGGCUACAAUAAUUAGGCCUGUAAUUAAACUAACACAAUUAUUUAAUUCCAAAUCUACUCUACUAAAAGAUUGGAAUUGACCUCCAUAAUUGUAUGCUAUCUAGGAUAGUGUUUUCGAUUAAUAAUUCGACCCAUGCCACAUUGAUUUCUUUACUGCACAAUCUUUUGUACCACAUCGUUAAUUAAAUUGAUAUCUCAACUGUCCAAUCAAUUUAAUUACAUCUUAUUCCUUUAUACUUACUGCUUUUCUCUAAUGAUCAUUUUCAACAUGCUAAAUAUGUUGACACACUCUGGCCAGAGAAUUCUAUGAUCAAGUGUCGAAAACUCAUCAAGAGAUGUGUUGUACAAAUUCUAUAUUGUUAAUCUAUAACUCCAAUACUCACAAUUGCUCCCACCAAGAUACCGGGUAAUCUUGACUACAAGUGUGUGUCUUGCCCAUUAGUAACUCAAAUGGAAUAAUAAUUACAAUCAUGAAAUUAUAACUAACUCAAGAUUAAGAUUACAGUAAAAUCAAUGCCUAUGAGAUUUAAUAAGUCUGACAGUCAUUUCAAGGUUAAUUAAAUCUCAUAUGUGAUCUAGCUCAAUGUAGUCAAACUAUAUCAUUAAAUUCAUACAUGAUUAAAAAAAAAUCAUUCAAUGAAUUUACUACAGUCUAAACAUAAAUAAAGCGUUCAACUCUAUUUAUCCACUACGAACUUAAUUUAUUUAAUCAUAAGAUAACUUAUAUUUAUGUCUUCUGUGAAUUCAUAUGAUGAUCAUAUAAAUAUGUAUAAUAUGAUUAAACAGACCUUAUUCAAAAUAUUUAUGCAAUUGAAAAUAUCUCAAAUAUUUUAUUAAUCAGAAAAUAAAUUAAUUAAUAUGCUUUAAAGAGCAUAUAAUCCCAACAACAACACCUCAGUCUCAAAUGUAUAUAUAGUCUUCAAAUAUCAGAGUAAAAAACCACAAAUUCAAUAAAUUAAAAACUAAAUUUUGUGCUAAUUAUAUCCCUACUUUGGUAAAUAAGUUGAUGAUAAUUAUUCAUGCCUGACUAUGAUCGGAAUCUAAAUAAAAACAACUACACGCUAUGAUUGUAAUCUAAAUAAAAACUACUGCAUGCUAAUAGGGGAAAACACUAUUACAACUCUCUCAAUCUGUCUAAACUAAUUUCAAGAAACUUGCCUCGAACUGGAUUAGAAAUGGGGUUGAAUGGGCUUAACUCGGUUGGGCAGAUUGAUUUUCACUUCCAAAAUGUUUAUGAAUAUCCUUGAAUGAUACCGUGGCAGAUCCCCUUCUUUUUGGUUUUGGUUGUGAAUAAUGUUCCCUCCAUCCUGUCAUGUAAAUCGCCUGCAAAUCAAAUACACCAAUGUAUUAUAAAGUUAAAGAAAUUUUCUUUUCCCAAAACAUCAUUACACGACAGCUCAGAUUGAGUAUUUAUGAUAUUGAGGCCUAAGACUGUCAAGACACCAACUCAUACUAACUUAUGAUAUGCCAAAUUCAAUCUGCCAAAAAUUCGCACACGUUUCAUGCUCUCAGCUGCAAACUGCUGUACCGUACAUCCGCCUUGGCCGUACAGCAGUGACGUUAGGGGCAUUAUUUUAUGUAAUUAAAAAUAUUUUCUGAAGGAAGAAGUUGAAUAAGUUCACCUGGAAGGUUGCAGGGAUGGAGCCAUCUUCUGCUGCAAACAUGGAAUCAUAUAUAGCGGCUGUUGCAUGGGCUGUUUCUCCAUUUAGGAUCUGAUUCAUUGAUGAACACAACGAAUUUCCAAAUAAGAAUUGAUAAAUAAGCUCGAGUUCCUCUUAUAACAUGUGAUUAUUCUCUAAUGGGGAAAGAGCUUCGUAGUCAUCCCAGAAGAAAAAGGAACAUCAUUAUCCAUGAAAGAAACCAUACUUUAUUCCUUUGUAGAAGAGCAUUGGUUUCACCCAUCGCACGCAGAUGUUCUAUCAGCUCCAGUGCUACACCAAACAGAGAGCAAUAAGAAGAGAAGGUGGUGAACGAGCGAAUGACUAAGCAGUCUUAACAUAGAUAACAGAUAUGUAAGAAAUUCAAUACUAACAACUCCUCCACCCCCUCCUCUGAAACCAUCAAAAUUUGUAUUUUCUUUUUAUUUUAAAAAAUAGAAGGGCAAAUAAAUACGCCGUAUUUAUACGCAUACUACUUCGUAUGUCACAUAUAUUUCACACAAGGACUGAUAUCUGAACUUCAAUACUGGUUAUAUAUGGAAGAUAGCAAGAAAAAUUUACAAGCCACAUCUCUAAUCAAUCUAUAAAAUAUUGGAAAUGAGGGGUGAGCCGUCAACUCGGUAAGCAAAUCCAUGCAUAAUAUUUGAAAACCUUGUCAUUUUACCUUUAAACAUUUUAUAACAUCUUCAUCUAGCACAAGGGGUGAAUUCAUGUAAAAGUAUUAAAAAUAUUAAAACGUUCAUAAAAAGAUUAAAACAUAAAUAUUAGUAGCUCAUGUCUCGUAGUCAUUAUCAUUCAUCACUCAUCAUUUAGGGUGUUAUACCCUGCAUUGUUCCUCAUUCAGGGUACUAUACCUCACAUUGUUCAUAACAUCCUUGUGCACAAGAUCAUCAUCAUACCAGCAAGCUGGCCAUAGCAUUACAUAACAUCAUAAUAUUAGCAUCAUUUACAUUACUACGGACUAUGAGCCAAAACAUUUUUUAAUCCACCUUACAUUCUUUCAUAAAUAGCAUUUAAAGUUUUCUAAAACAUUUAAGAACCUUUCUUUGAUCAUUUAAUUCUUUUGGAAAAAUUUUUAAGGAAACAUUUUGUUUAAGAAAACUAAUUUCUUAAGAAAAUUUCAUUUUAAAAUUUACUUAUAUAAAUUCAUUUAAAAGUGUUUUUAUUUUACAAAAUUCAUUUAAAUAUUUUAGAAAAUAGUUUUGUGAAAAUUUCCAUUUAAACAUAAUUCUUAUAACAUAAAUUGCAUUUAUUAUAAAACACAUCAUCCAUGAAUCUACUUACCUUGAUCCACAGCAAUCAACUCAAUACCUUAAGAACAAACCAACGAGUUCACCCACGUCCUUAAGGCAAACACCAAGCAAAGAAAUUAUAAAACUUUCUUUUUCUUCUCCAAAGGCUUAUGUUUCCUUUUUUUUCUAGGGUUUGUAACGGCGUAGAAAAUAAAAGACGGCUUCCUUUGGCUUCCUCUUAAAUACUUGGUAAUUAAUAAAUAUUUUUUUAUAAAAACUAAUAACUUACGUAACUUAUUUAAAGUAAUUUGAUAAAUUUUACUCACACACACUCGAUAAUAACUAUCCUACCCAAUUUAAUAAGGGUAAAAGAGGAAACAAAAAUAAAAGUGGGCGUUACAGUACCUGUGCUAAAGGUGAUACCCAUGGACUGAUGCCUCCUUCACGCUCCAUUUGAGCAACAGUGCAAGCUAUUCUCACUUCCCUGGUCAUCAGGACAGUCAAGUUGGAAAAAUCAGUAACAUAAGUCAUGUCUCAGAGCAUGAACUUGAUUUAAUUGAAAUAACGGUGACAGACAUACACGUAUAGAGGAGUUUCACAAGUUACAACCUUGGCGCCUGUCGGAAUCUCAAGGUCUUCUGUGAAACCCUUCCAUUGUUUUUCAAAAUUUAGUUUGAGGAGGAUACAAACCUUGGCCCUGGUGAUGCUAUCAUCAGCAAGACAAAGCUUGUCCGUAUCAAAAUGCUCAGCAGUGGUCAGUACAGGCCUAGCACGUGGCCCAGCACGUCCAAUUGCCUUCUUCUUAUUCGAAAUUUACCCUCAUGGAUUAAAACAAUUGAUCAUACACACAACAUGUUUGGUUCCUUUUGUCGACAAAGUACAUGGAUAUAUAAUCCCAGUUCAGCAGCCUUUCAUUGUCGGCAAUUUCUUGUAUGUUGAUCAUUCGUGCUCGGUGUACCAAGUGUUUUUUUCGGUACCAUGUGUGCCAUAUGAAUUCCAUCCAUUAGACUAUUCUUGAAAUCUUCUGCAACUCCUGGUUGUUUCAAUAGCUUUUCUAAUUGAAUACACAUGGCUCUAAUUAAAACGACCUUAUAUUUACAGCCAUUUAGCCUCCCAUCACAUGUUGGGUUAUGAACGUCCUGUAGAAAGUUUGCACCACCACAAGGUACAAAAUCAUUAUUUUUUUCUGCAGCAUGAUUAUUUUUACAACUGGGUAUGAAUUUGGGAUCCUGAGGGAUUUUUCGGAACUCAAACUUUCGAACAAUCGGCUGCAUGCUAUUCUUAGCCAACAGAAACAUGGGGAUUUUGUGGAUCUCAUAAUAGAGCUAGAGAAAGAGGGUUUCGAACUAGCCUACUUAAUCUUUUCUUAGUUUUAAAAGGCGGGUAGGGUAGCUGGGUAAGUUUAUUAAUUAUUUAUCCCUAAGCAUAUUAUUAUAAUAUAUGUAAUUGGGCUUGUAUCCCAUCAUUAUCGGUGCUCUUUGAGAGAAUUUUAGAUCAUAUUGAGUAAUGAAUUGUAACUAUUUUAUUGAUCUUAACAAUGUACAACUUUGAUAGUAUUUAUAGUUGUACAGCUCAGAAUCCAGCUCAUCAAUUUCGUUUUACAAAUUAACAAACUCAAGUAAAGUGUGUAUGUUAUGAUUUGAUCACAGCCGUUCAUUCAUAACUAAUUUACUACAUCACAUAACAGCUGUAGAAUCUCUGUAUAAUUGUUAUGCCAUAUGGAAUAUUCUUGAAAUUCUAGUAGUGCAACCCAAGAGGGGGGGUGAAUUGGGAUUCUAAAAAAUUAUUCAAUUCUAAAACAAAAUAUCAUGCAAAUCUAAAAACGAAUUUAAAGCAAUAACAAUUAAAUCAAUCACAAUAUAAAAAGAUAAGGGGAGAGAGAUUCAAACACGAAGAUUUUUACGUGGUUCGGCCAACCUCGCCUACGUCCACUCCUCCAAGCUUUCCGGGCUUGAGGAUUUCACUAAGCAAGCCUCCAAGGCUUCAAAUGCUUACACUUGACUUCCAAGGUGUCAAUGAACCUUUACAACAAGAGAUUAUUCCCAAUCUCUUAACCCAAGUGUAUCCCAACACUUACAAUCACUCAAAGUAAAAGAUUACAAAUUGUUUUUCCCUCACACAAUAUUUAAGAUUACAAAUCAAUGCCCAAUGUGUGAAUAGAUGAAGCAAGAAUGUGUUCAAAGCUCUAUGAAGAUUGUAUUCUCGAGUAUAAGCUCAAUAGUUGUGUUGUGAUCAAUCUUCUUUGAAUUUGAAUGAGCUUAUUUAUAUUUGGAGCUGAAAAACUAGCCGUUUCAAGCUGUCGGCCCAAAAACGGUUUGCCGUUAACCAUUAACGGUUAACCGUUUAGGCUGGUCAAAAUUUACCGUUGGGCCAAAUUUCAAAUAAACGGUUUGCCGUUUCGGAUUACCCUUUCGCCGUUAAAUUCCAGAGACCUGCAAGAUGAACAUCAGUUAUCCGUUUACAUUAAACGGUUAAGGAUUUGCAUGAAGUGACCUCUCUGGAUAUUAUCGGUUCACCGUUUGUAAUAAACAGUUUGCCGUUUGUUUCCAGUAACCUGCAAAGCAAUUUAGCCUUAUCCGGCUUUGUUAAACGGUGCCAAAAGAGUAUAACCUUCUAUUCUGGAUUUUAUCGGUUAACCGUUUAUAAUAAACGGUUCACCGGUAAAUUCCAGUAGCCUUCCCAGCUUUAUGUUUUCCGUUUUUCUUAAUCGGUUAGAGCACCUUCCCAGCUUUGUGUUUUCCGUUUUUCUUAAUCGGUUAGAGCUUAGGCAAAAUGUUGCUCUCUGGUUUUAAUCGGUUAACCGUUUGAAAGAAAAUGGUUCACCGUUUAUUUCCAGAAUCAUAUUUUAAACCAGAUUUUGUAGAGAGUCAUUUUCUAAUUUGAAAGUCCAUCUUUUAAGAGAAUGAUUGGAAUGAUUUUAAGGCUUUCAUUUAUUAAGGAAUGGCUCCAACAUUUUAAUCAAAAACCAUUUAAAGUUUGUUAUUAUCAAAAUCAAUAAUAUUAACAUAUUCAUGUUAACAAUCUCCCCCUUUUUGAUGAUGACAAACUUCAUUCAAUAUUUUGCUCCCCCUUAAUAUAUGCUCCCCCUAAAUGUAUGGCCAAAUUGAGAAGUGUCCAAUAAAAAGAUUUUUGCUCAAGAAAACAUUUUUGAAUUCAUUUUAAAUCUCCCCAUAAUUAUCUCCCCCUUCAUCAUCAAAAAGAAAAGAGAGAAAGGAAAACCGCUAAUCUUGUGAAAGAAGUUACCCGGUUUUAGCGAGCGAAAAUUUUGGCAGAGUUUCCCCUUAAAAUGGAGCAAAACCAUUAAUACAAAAGGAGAUUAAACACUUCCAAAAUAGAUUUACAACAACUCCAUCAUCCAACAACGCCAUGAACAAUCAAACCAACACUUCAUUAACCAAUAAACCAACAAUCUCAUCAACCACUAUCAAGACAUCCAACAUCAAGAACAUCACAAAAACAUGUCAUCAAAAGCCAUAAAGAGCACAUAGAGGUAGCAGUGUAUAUAAAAAUAUAAAUGGCAACACACAAACAACCAAGAUAUGAAAUGUAUGUGCGAAAAUAGAACUCAGAAACUAUGGAGGUGGAGAAGAUGUGCUCCCCGGAUCAUAACCGAAAUAGCUGAGAAGAGUGCGAUGUCUAGCGAUAAGCUCAAGCUGCUGAUCAAUGCUCUGCUGCUGGAAGGUCUGAAAGUCAGAACGUAGCUGCUGCUGGUCAAGGGAAAAAGUGUCCAACCGAUCAAGAAUCAACUGCUGGCGCUCUGAAAUCCGGUGAACAUCAGCAAUCAACUGCUGUACAAUGUCUGAAGCAGGGGGCUGAACUGGAGCUGGAGGCGGCAUAGAAGCAGAUGGCUGCUCAGGAACAGUAGAUGGCUCAGGAGCAGGAGGCGGCUCGGAAGAUUAGGGAAUGUCAGCAUCCAUCGCACACUCCUCGGAAUCAGAGUCAGUUGGAGGCUGAGGGACAAAACGGCGACGCGGAGGAUGAGGAUGAGCUCCUAAUCUAAAGUCAGGACGCUGAUCGGGAGGAUAGAUAUCGUUGAGCAUCCGAUCGUCCUCUGGAGCAAUCAAUGUAUCCCGGUUUUUGGAGUUGCUUGUCUUUAUCCACACUCCAUUCUUCCUAGAAAAACUGAUACUAGUCAUGGCCUCGGGACCAAUCCGUCUAGUCUCUAUAUGACCGGUAUCAAGAAGAGGCACCUCAAAGCGUCGCAGUAUCUUAGUAAUGAUACUACCAUAAGGAAGCAAGCGGUGGUUAACCGUAAGAGUACUCAACAUGUGUCACAAAAUAACAUACCCAAGGUUAAUGGGAUGAUUUGAGAGUAGGCUAUCGAGUAGGCCAACGUCCAACCUCGUAACCUCAUCCGAGUGACCCUUCUUGGGUGUCACUAUGUGCUGUAAAAUAGUGUGAAGAAUGCGAACUUGGAGAGUACUCAACAUGUGUCGCACAAUAACAUACCCAAGGUUAAUGGGAUGAUCUGAGAGUAGGCUAUCGAGUAAGCCAACGUCCAACCUCAUAACCUCAUCCGAGUGACCCUUCCUAGGUGUCACUAUGUGCUGUAAAAUAGUGUGAAGAAUGCGAACUUGGAGAGGUAGAAGUUGAGACCAAAAAGGAAGUAAACAAAUCUCAUCAGACAAGUCUCGACGACGACAUAUAUUACGGACUCCAUCAGUAUGACAAAAACUGUCAAAGAAAAGGGCUUUCCUAGAAGUGUAAAUAUCAUGCCCCUCACUAGAGAUACCAAGAAAGUCAGCUAGGUCCGCAUCAUCAAACUCUAUAGGUACACCGCCGACUUGAGUAACUAUCCUAUUUAGGCGAAUGGCGGAGAUUUCCAUAUUCAAAUAAAAUACUCGCACUAAAUUGGGAUAAACCCGGUCAUCAAAGUCUAUGGCAGACUCCCAAGGCUGAAGCAUAUCCUGAAUGCUUCUACCAUAUACAACUAAGUUACUGAAAUCUUCAAUUUCAACAUAGAAGGAGUCAAGUACCUUUCGUCCAUCGAAGCGAUCCUAGAACCGCUUGGCCAAGGAAGGCGUGGGAAAAUGAAUUCUUGCAAAUUCAGAGACUUCCCGUGGUGGUAUAGGAUUCCUUGGAGGCACAGAUUUUCGCCUGAGAUUUCUCUGAGGGGGUGCAGCCAUGGAGAAGUACAACGGAGUGUGGUGAGGUGUGUUGAGAAGAAAAUGAAUUAAUGAUUUGCUGAGGAAUAAGUAGAGGAUGUGAUUUUGAUGCUCAAUUUGGUUAAAAAAGCGAAAAAUCGGAUUGAAAACGAAGAAACCCGACCCGCGGUAGUUAGGGUUUAGAUUUGGAAUUUUUCAAUUUUGGGAUUGAUUUGAAGUUUUGAAUCGGUUAAAGUGUUCUAAAAGUGAUAAGAAAUUAUGUUGUAGGUUUGAUUUGGCAAGAAAAGCAAGAAAAAUGAGGAUUUGAGGGCUGAGGAACCUUCGGCUGCGCAACAAUGGCCGAAACGGUGAAAGGGUAACUGGAGAAGGAGAAGGAGAAGAAAAAACCUUUGAACAGUUUUAUAAUCGCGAAAAUGGUUAACCGUUUAUUUAAACGGUUAAGGGGUAACUUCCAGAGGCUAGAGAGUUGGCAACGGAGAAAGCUUAAGCACUUAACGGCUAAGGAGUAACUGUUAGAGGACUCUCUGUUUUUAAACGGUUUACCGAUUGCGUCAAACAGUGAAAGAGUAAAAAGACAGACACAUAAUCUCGUUUCUGGAAUAAAACGGUUCACCGUUUAUUGAAAACGGUUAUCCGUUUAUUUUAUCUAUAAUUUCGCACAUUUGAUUUAAUUUUUGGCCAGCAAAUAAUACAUUCCAAUAUCAUUUAACUUAUCUAAAAUGUUUUAUGAGCCAUUUUAAUGCAUGAUUCAUGAACAUGUAUUCAAGCAAUUAAUUCAUAUAAUCAAUCAAGAAUUAACAAAGCAAAUACUUCAUUUGAAUAUCAAGCUUGAGCAUUUCUUAAAUAUUAAAUCACCAAUAAGUCAAUCAAUUCAGUACACUCAAUAGCAUGAAUAGAGACGUUAAUACGAAAAUUUCAUCAUCCCAAGUUCAUGCCGAAUUUUCGAAAAUUGUUCUUCGCCAAAGGGUUUGGUAAAAAUAUCGGCGAGUUGUUUUUCUGUAGAAAUAAACUCUAAUGCAAUAUCUCUCUUUUGAACAUGAUCUCUCAAGAAAUGAUGUUUUAUUUCUAUAUGCUUGGUUCUAGAGUGUUGAAUGGGAUUCUUUGAAAGAUUUAUAGCACUAGUAUUAUCACACUUAAUAGGAAUUUGUUCUAGGUUAAUACAAUAAUCUCUAAGUGUUUGUUUCAUCCAAAGAGCUUACGCACAACAACUUCCUGCAGCUAUAUAUUCAGCCUCGGUAGUUGAAAGUGCAACAAAAUUUUGUUUCUUGCUAAACCAUGAAACAAGUGAGUGACCUAAAAUAUAGCAAGUUCCACUAGUGCUUUUCCUAUCAAUUUUAUAACCGGCAAAGUCCGCAUCCGAAUAGCAUGUUAAAUCUAUAUGAGUUCCCCUAGGAUACCAAAGUCCAAUAUCUAUGGUUCCACUUAAAUAACGAAAAAUUCUUUUAACAGCAAGCAAAUGGGAUUCCUUGGGACAUGAUUGAAAUCUUGCGCACAAGCAUACACUAAACAUGAUAUCGGGUCUACUUGCAGUUAAAUAAAGUAAAGAUCUGAUCAUACCUCGAUACAUUUUGAUAUCCACUUCUUUGCCUUUUUCAUCUUUGUCGAGCUUGGUGGUUGUGAUCAUUGGUGUAUUUUUGGUCUUUGAGUCAUCAAUGCCAAAUCUUUUGAGUAGAACUUUUACAUACUUGGCUUGAUUUAUGAAAAUUCCUUCCUCAUUUUGUUUUAUUUGUAGUCCAAGGAAGUAUUUCAACUCUCCCAUCAUACUCAUUUCAAAUUCAUUACUCAUCCAAGAUGAAAUUCUUGACACAACAAUUCAUUAGUAGAACAAAAAAUAAUAUCAUCAACAUAAAUUUGAACAACAAGUAUGUCUUUGUCCUUAUGUUUAACAAAGAGAGUAGUAUCCGCUUUACCCAUGGAAAAAUCAUUUUCUAACAAGAAAUUUUUAAACCAACAUACUAUGCUCUAGGUGCUUGUUUUAAUCCAUACAAGGCUUUAAACAACUUAUAAACAUGAUUUGAAAGUUUUUCAUUUUCAAAACCAGGGGGUUGUUUUACAUAGACUUCUUCCAUAAUAUACCCAUUUAAGAAAGCACUUUUCACAUCCAUUUGAAAUAAGAUGAAAUCUUUAUGACAUGCAAAUGCCAACAACAUUCUAAUUGAUUCUAGUCUAGCAACGGGUGCAAAAGUUUCAUCAAAAUCAAUUCCUUCUUCUUGGUUGUAACCUUGAGCCACUAAUCUAGCUUUAUUUCUUACAACCACACCGAAUUCAUCCAUCUUAUUUCUAAAUAUCCAUUUAGUACCUAUGACGGAUUGAUGUUCCGAUUUAGGAACUAAUUCCCACACAUUGUUUCUUUCAAAUUGAUUUAAUUCCUCUUGCAUUGCCAUAAUCCAAGAUUCAUCAUUUUCCGCAUCCGCAAAGGAUUUGGGUUCAAUUUGAGAAAUAAAUGCANNNNNNNNNNNNNNNNNNNNNNNNNNNNNNNNNNNNNNNNNNNNNNNNNNNNNNNNNNNNNNNNNNNNNNUAAGUGAUGAUCUAGUUGUGAUACCUCUUGAAGGAUCACCUAAUAUUACAUCUUUAGGGUGAGAAGAAACAUACCUCCACUCCUUGGGGAGUGUUUGAGAAGUACCUUCAUGUUGCUCCAUAUUUGUUUGCUCUUCUUGUUUAUCAUCUUGAUUUUCUUGUGGUGCAUUCUCUUGAUUCUCUGUUGACAAUUCUUCUUGUAGCUCUCCAUCUGCAUCAUCAUUAGCAACUCAUUUCUCCGUAGAGGAGGAGUUAGAUUCAUCAAACGUAACAUGCAUGGAUUCUUCCACAACUAAAGUUCUUUUAUUAUAAACUCUAUAAGCUUUGCUUGAGUUUGAAUACCCGAGAAAGAUGCCAACAUCAGAUUUUGGAUCAAAUUUACCAAGAUUAUCUUUUGUGUUUAAAAUAAAACAUUUGCAUCCAAAAACUUUGAAAUAGCCAAUGUUGGGUUUUCUAUCUUUCCAAAGCUCAUAGGAAGUUUUAUUGAGAUGAGGUCUAAUCAACACCCGAUUUAAAACAUAACAAGCGGUGUUGACGGCUUCGGCCCAAAAAUAUUUUGAUAAAGCAUUUUCAUUUAACAAGGUCCUAGCCAUUUCUUGAAUAGACCUAUUCUUUCUCUCAACAACUCCAUUUUGUUGUGGAGUCCUAGGUGAUGAAAAUUGAUGCUCAAUGCCAAGAUUAUUGCAAAAAAAUCUCAAAUGCAUGAUUUUCAAAUUCUCCUCCAUGAUCACUUCUAAUACAUGCAAUCCCAUACCCUUUUUCAUUUUGAAUUUUCUUACAAAGUACUUUAAAAGCAUCAAGAGCAUCAUCCUUAUUAGAUAAGAAUAAUACCCAUGUGUAUCUUGAAAAAUCAUCAACAAUUACAAAAGCGUAAUAUUUUCCAUUCAAGCUAGCAUACCUUGAAGGUCCAAAUAAAUCUAUAUGAAGUAAUUGAAGUGGUUUUGAAGUAUAAAUAUGAUUUUUGCUUUUAAAAGAGGUUUUGAUUUGUUUACCAAAUUGGCAUGCUUCACAAAUUUUAUCCUUUUGAAAACCAAUUUUUGGAAGACCUUUAACUAAAUCAUUUUUGGAAAUCUUUGAAAUUAAAUCCAUGCUUGCAUGUCCUAACCUUCUAUCCUAUAACCAACUAUCAUCAUGCAAUGCGAAAAGUAUUUAUCAAGAGUAGAUGCACAUUCUAUGUCAAUGAUAUAAACAUUACCACAUCUAUUCCCAACAAACAAGAUCUUGCCAUCACAUAAUUAAGUUGUGUUUCAAGUUCUCAACCAAACAUACAUUUUCAAUUAAAGUUGAGGAAACUUUACCAACAUUUCCAAUUCCAAGAAUUUUUCCUUUUGAGUUGUCUCCAAAAGAUACGUCUCCACCAUUUUCAAUUUUGGUGAAGCUUGAGAACCAUGCAUAGUUUCCGGUCAUGUGCCUUGAACAACCACUGUCCAAGUACCAUUUGUUUUUCUUCUUCUUCAAUCCCUACAAAGAAAAUCUCAAGUUUUAGGUACCCAAAGCUUUUUGGGUCCCUGAGAGUUAGCAAUGGUUCCUUUUGGAACCCAAAUACAUUUGACACCAUAAUAUGCAUUCCUUUUCACGGGACAUCUAUAUUUCAUGUGACCGUUUUGAUUACAAUAAUGGCAAACAAUCUUAUGAUCACUUGUGGAGGUAGCUUGAACAAAAUAAUUCUUAUAAUACUUUUGCUUCAAGUUAGGCUUAUACCCAAGUCCUCCUUUGUCAAAAACACAUUUUUGUGAGUUAAGCAUAUUAUCCAACAUCUUUUUCCCAUUUGUAAAUUUCAAAACAAUCUCAUUCAACUCAUUGCUCUUUUUCUUAAGCAUUUCGUUUUUAUUUUUCAAAUCAUCUAUGUGUGAUUCUAAAUGCUCAUGUGAGAUGCUAGGUUUCUCAUUUGAUAAUGCAAUUUCAUCAUGCAAUGCUUUGUUCUCUACUUCUAGACAUGUAAUUUUCGCAUUUAGAGAUUCAUUUUCAUUUUUAAGCUUUGCCAUUUCCUUUUUAAGACAUACAUUCUUUUUACCAAACUUCAUCAACUCAUUAUGCAAUUCUUUAAAAGUAUCAUACAAUUCAUCAUAAGUGGGAUCACUUACCUCAUUGAGAUUGUCAUCCUCUCCUAUUGCCAUAAGCGCUAGAUUUGAUACUUCUUGCAACAUGGCUUUCUUCUUGAGGUUGUUGAUAAGUGGGCAUUCCGAUCUUAUAUGGCCAAGCUUCUUGUACUCAUAACAUGUGAUUACCUCUUUCUUUUCCCUUUGGUUCUUGAAGUUUCUGAAUUUUCUUCGCUCUCCAGUUUUCUUGAAAAACUUUCUGAACCUCCUUGCUAGCAUGGCUAACUCCUCAUCAUCUGGUUCACUAUCUCCAUCACUCUCAUAUUUUGAAGCUUUAAGAGCAAUACUUUUCUUCUUCUCCUCAUCCCCUUUUUCUGCUGCCAAGUCUUCUUCAUAUGAAAUGAGAGAACCAAUUAAAUCAUCAAGAGGUAAAGUAUUUAAAUUUUUGGCCUCUUCAAUGGCGGUUCUUUUAGGUCUCCAUUCUUUUGGAAGUGACCUAAUGAUUUUCUUAACUUUCUCACUAUUUGAGAAGGUCUUCCCUAAGACACCUAGGGUGUUUACUAUGUCCGUGAAUCUAGUAUACAUAGAAUACACACUUUCAUUUUGCUCCAUUUGGAACAACUCAUAUUGACGAGUGUAUCUACUAAUUUUAGACUCUUUAACUUGAUUUGUCCCUUCAUAGACAACUUCAAGUUUAUUCCAUAUUUCUUGUGCACUUUCACAACUAGAUACUCUAUGGAAUUCUUUCUUAUCAAGAGCACAAAAUAAAGCAUUCAUAGCCUUGGAGUUUAAGGACAUUUUUCUCUUUUCUAACUCACUCCAUUGACUUGAUGGUUUAGGAAUAGCAUCUCCUACUUCAUCUUUAAACAUAGGCAUGAAUGGACCAUCACAAACAACUUCCCAAAUUUCAUAAUUUAAGGCUUGCAAAUAGAUUUUCAUUCUAGUUUUCCAAUAGGCAUAUUCAUUAUCGUCAAAGAACGGUGGUCUAGUUGUGGAUUGCCCUUCUCUAAAGGUUGAGUCAUUUAUGGUUGCCAUGGAUCUUUUACUCUAGACGAUUAAGUCCUAACAAGAGAACAAGGCUCUAAUACCAAAUGAAAUUCUAGUAGUGAACAAGAGAACAAGGCUCUAAUACCAAAGAGUUAAUAAUAAUCAAGUUGUUAUUGAAAUACAAGUAUGCAACCCAAGAGGGGGGGGUGAAUUGGGAUUCUAAAAAAUUGUUCAAUUUAUUAAAGAAAAUCUUAAUGCAAUUAUAAAUCAAAUUCAAAAUCAAUAACAAUUAAGAUGAUCACAAUGUAAAAACAAUUAAAUCAAUCACAACAAACACGAAGAUUUUUACGUGGUUCGGCCAACCUCGCCUACGUCCACGCCUCCAAGCUUUCCGGGCUUGAGGAUUUCACUAAGCAAGCCUCCAAGGCUUCAAAUGCUUACACUUGACUUCCAAGGUGUCAAUGAACCUUUACAACAAGAGAUUAUUCACAAUCUCUUAACUCAAGUGUAUCCCAACACUUACAAUCACUCAAAGUAAAAGAUUACAAAUUAUUUUUCCCUCACACAAUAUUUAAGAUUACAAAUCAAUAUCCAAUGUGUGAAUAGAUGAAGCAAGAAUGUGUUCAAAGCUCUAUGAAGAUUUUAUUCUCGAGUAUAAGCUCAAUAGUUGUGUUGUGAUCAAUCUUCUUUGAAUUUGAAUGAGCGUAUUUAUAUUUGGAGCCGAAAAACUAGCAGUUUCAAGCUGUCGGCCCAAAAACGGUUCGCGGUUAACCAUUAACGGUUAACCGUUUAGGCUGGUCAAAAUUUACCGUUGGGCUAAAUUUCAAAUAAACGGUUUGCCAUUUCGGAUUACCCUUUCGCCGUUAAAUUCCAGAGACCCGCAAGAUGAACAUCAAUUAUCCGUUUACAUUAAACGGUUAAGGAUUUGCAUGAAGUGACCUCUCUGGAUAUUAUCGGUUCACCGUUUGUAAUAAACGGUUCGCCGUUUAUUUCCAGUAACCUGCAAAGCAAUUUAGUCUUAUCUGGUUUUGUUAAACGGUGCCAAAAGAGUAUAAUCUUCUAUUCUGGAUUUUAUCGGUUAACCGUUUAUAAUAAACGGUUCACCGGUAAAUUCCAGUAGCCUUCCCAGCUUUGUGUUUUCCGUUUUUCUUAAUCGGUUAGAGCUUAGGCAAAAUGUUGCUCUCUGGUUUUAAUCGGUUAACCGUUUGAAAGAAAACAGUUCACCGUUUAUUUCCAGAAUCAUAUUUUAAACCAGAUUUUGCAAAGAGUCAUUUUCUAAUUUGAAAGUCCAUCUUUUAAGAGAAUGAUUGGAAUGAUUAUAAGGCUUUCAUUUAUUAAGGUAUGGCUCCAACAUUUUAAUCAAAAACUAUUUAAAGUUUGUUAUUAUCAAAAUCAAUAUUAUUAACAUAUUCAUGUUAACAAUUCUUCCUCUGCACGUGUAGAUUACAUAACUUCACUUGUGUGAGCAUCUUCCUUGGUUAACAAGUAAACUCCAGCUGGAAUCCCCACGUGAGUUUAUCCAGAUUCAGCUUUAUUCUCAAACUUAAGAUCCCUUCUAAAACUUAAGUCUCUAUGAGAGACUUUAAGUUUGUUUCUGAAUAAGCUGAACUUGGAGUAAGUGAGUGGCUUGGUCAACACAUCUGCUGUUUGAUCAUUGCUAGAUACAAAAGCAAUUUCAAUUUCUUUCUUCUCAACUUUAUCUUUGACAAAAUGAAUGUCUAUCUUAACAUUUGUUAUCUUAGAAUGAAGAACUGGGUUUGUGGCAAUUGUGGUUGCACUUGUACUGUCACUUAACAACAUAGGAGUGUGGUUUAGUUUUACACCCAAUUCUUUCAGUAAUGAACAUAUCCACGUUAUUUUUGCACUAGCUAAUGCCAUAGCUCUGUAUUCAUAUUCAGCUGAUGAUUUUGAUACCACACGUUGCUUCUUUGAACUUCAACUAAUCAAAUUGUCACCCAAGUAUAUACAAUAACCACUAGUAGAUCUUCUAUCAUCAAGAUCACUUCCCCAGUCAGCAUCUGAGUAAGCUAUUAGAUCAAGGGAAUCAAAUUUCUUGAAAAUCAGGCCAUAGUCAACUGUUUCCUUUAGAUAUUUGAGUACCCGUUUACAAGCUAUCUAGUGUGGCUGCAGAGGAUUAGCCAUAAACUGACUUAACUUGUUUACUGCAUAUGCAAUCUCAGGCCUAGUUAGCACAGCAAACUGCAACCCUCCAAUAGCUCUUAUGUCCUGAGUUGAGCCAGCACAUUUUUCUCUCACAUAUUUGCUCAACUUUUCAGUAGUUGCUAGUAAAGUGUCUAAACCAUUACAGUUCUUCAAAUCAAAUUUGGUAAGCAACUCCUUUAAGUAUUUGGAUUGUGUAAGUACCAGUGUAUCUUCAUUUCUUGUAACUUCAAUGCCAAGAAAGAAGUUAAGUUGUCCCAAAUCCUUAAGAGCACAAGCAUUUCCUAGGUUGUAAAUAAGCUGCUCUAUUUCAACAUGAUUAUUCCUAGUGACUAUGAUAUCAACAUAAACUAACAAGAUGAUUAGAUCAUUUCCAUUUCGUUUGAAAAAUAAGAAUGUGUCUGAUUUUGCUUGACAGAACUGCCAUGAUUCAAGAACUGAUUUUAAUUUUUCAAACCAAGCUCUUAGUGCAUGUUUCAAACCAUAGAGUGCUUUUUUUCAAUUUACAAACAUAUCUUGGGUGAUCUGCAUCCACAAAUCCUUCAGGCUAAGGCAUAUAUACUGUUUCAAUUAACUGUCCAUUCAGGAAUGCAUUAUUAAUGUCAACCUGUCUCAGCUUCCAGUUAUUCAUCACAGCCAUGCUUAAAACAAUUCUUAUAGUAGCUGCUUUCACUAUAGGGCUGAAAAACUCUUGAUAAUCUACUCCUUCAGUUUGUAAGAAAUCCUUUGCUACUAACUUCGCUUUAUAUCUAUUUAUUAUUCCAUCUGAGUUUUGUUUUACUCUAAAAAUCUAUUUAUUUCCCAGAAGUUUCAUAUUUUGUUCUGGUGGAACCAAACACCAGGUCUGAUUCUUUAUUAGAGCAUGAAACUCAUCCUGCAUGGCUAGCUUCCAGUUUUUAUCACUUAAAACUUCAGUAACACUUGAUGGUGUCUCUAGAGACAAUGCUUUUUCAAUAUUGUAGGCUUUAGGCUUAAAGAUUCCAACUUUGGCUCUAGUUAUCAUAGGAUGUGAAGGGUUGAGUUUAGGAAUGGUUUGAGACAUUUCAGGAUUUUGGUUUUGAACUUCAGUGUUUUCAGGUGCAACAGAAUAAUCUGAAGUAUUUUGAGUUUCUGAGUGUGUGUUUGAAACACUGUUUGGCACUGGGGUAGUUUGAUUAUGACUGUUAUCAGAGUCUUGAUCAUCAGAGGGAGUAACAUCUUGAAUUGGAUUCUCAGAUGAGUUUGAACUAGCUACUGUUGCCUCAUGACUAUGACUUUCAGAAGGAAAAGACACUGUGAUGAAUUUACUGAAGGAGUUUAAACACUCAGAUAAUUGAUUUUGUUUUAAAUUCAUGAAUUUCGGAUCUGUUUUGAAAUGAAAUGAGCUUUCAUUGAAGUUAACAUGUGUUGUUAUGUAUAUUCUUCCAUUUGAAUUUAAGAUCAUGUAACCUUUGUGAAAGUGACUGAAACCUAGAUUUACACAUGUAGAAGUAUGAAAAUCGAAUUUAUAUCUGUUGUAGGGUCUUAAGAAAUGAUAGCACUCACAACCAAAUAUUUUGAUAAGAGAGUAAUCUGAUUUCUUUGAGUAAAGAGAUUCAAAUGGUGUUUUGUCAUUUAAAAUAGGUGUGCUGGUUCUGUUUAUAAGAUAUGUGGCAUUAGAAAAAGCUUCCCACUAAAAUUUCAAAGGUAAUCCAGAUGAGCAAGAAGUGUCAAUCUAGUUUCUACAAGGUGUAUGUGCUUUCUUUCAACGUUCCCAUUUUGAUGAUGAGUAUAUGGGUAGGAGUAUUUUAAAGAAAUCCCUUCGUGCUUUAGAUAUGGUUCAAACACUUUAUAUUUUCCUCCCAUGUCACACUGUAAGGCUUUGAUUUUCAGUUCAAGACUUUUAUCAAUUUGGUUUUUGAAAGAAAUGGAUGUUGUAAGUGCCUGUGAUUUAUGUGUUAAUUCAUAAAUCCAUGUGCAAUUGGUUUUGUCAUCAAUGAAAGCUAUAUAGUAUCUAAAGCCUUGAUUUGAUUUAGUGGGAGCAAGACCCCAAAGGUCACUAUGAAUAAUUUUAAGAGCUUUUGAGGUUUUUGUUUCACUAUGUUUGAAUGAUAGUAUGUGUUGUUUUCCAUACUGACGGGCUUUACAGAAAGAUAAACCAGAUGUUUUAUUUACAAAAGAAAUAUUACAAGCUGACAAGGUUUUCAUAAGAGCAUUGAUAUUAGGGUGGCCUAAUCACAUAUGCCACAGAUCAAGCACUUUAUUACUUGUACAAUUUCCAUUACAACUGGCAGAGAACAUAGAUUCAGGUCCAGGUAUUUUAUUUAUUGUAAGCAAACUAGGAGUAGUAGUAGAAGAUAACAGAAUUGACUUGAAUUGCCUGGAAUCAUAAGGCAAACUUAGCAGCUUGUACAAUCCAUCUUUAGCCAUUCCUUUCAAAAGAACACUCCUCCUUCUCUUGUCCUUAACAACACAAAAGGUUUUAUUGAAUUCAAUAAAAACAUCAUUAUCAUGUAAUAGUUUCGAAAUGCUGAUCAAAUUUUUGGUUAUUUCUGGAAUAUAAAGUAUGUGAUUAAGUUUGAUAUGAGAUAAUAUGUGUGAAUCAACUAUGUUGAGCAGUGAGUGACCAAUAGAAACUAUUUUGAGUUCAGCUCCAUUACCUACAGCCAGCUAAUCAUUUCCUUUGUAUUCUGAGCUGAUGUUGAGAUUGUUGAAGUCAUUUGAGAUGUGGUUUGUUGCACCACUGUCAAGGUACCAAGCUCCAUUUCUGUGUCCUUCAUUCUCAGCUAUAUAUGCACUUAUCUUAUUAGGAACUUGAUUUGGCACAUAGUUCUUUUUAAACCUAUACCAGUAGUGAGCAAUAAUAUGAUUUUUCCUGAAACAGAUCUGGCAUGGUCCCUUAGGUUCUUCUUCAUCAAUAGGAUUUUUGCCUUUGAACUUAUCUCAUGGAUUUAUGAUCUGAUUGAAAUUGUUUCCACUAGAUUGCUUUCCAUUAGAGAUUCCAGAUCGUCUUCCACCAUAAUUGUUGUUGUUUCCACCAAAAUUGAAGUUUGAUUGCCAGUUCCUCCUUUGAUUUCCUCUGUGAUAAGCUAGAUUAGCUUGAUAAUCCAUGUGACUGACAGAGUGUUGAUAUUCAAUUCUAUUUUCAUGACUCAGCAGCAUCCCAUACACAUCAGAGAGAGUUGUGCCUUCAGGCUGUGCAUUGAUUGUGGUAACAAUUGAAUCAUAAUCAGAUCCAAGGCCAGCAAGCAAGCACAACACAAAAUCUUCAUUACUCAUAUUGCUUCCAGCAGCUCUCAAUGCAUCAAGAUUGGUUUUCAUCUUAGUGUAGUACUCAUGAAUUAUCAUUGAUCUUUCCUGGUGGUCUGAAUUUGAGUCCUCAGAUGCAGAGCUCUAGCUCUAGAUCUAGCUCCAAACUAAGUUGCAAGAAUCUGCCAUAUAUCCAGAGAAGAUCUGGCUCCAACUACAGCACUUAGAACUUCUUCAUUCAAGGUUGAAAGCAACCAGCUCAUCAGCUGCUGAUCAUUUCUCCUCCAGAUCUGGAACUGUGGAUUUGGAGUUGUGAUCACAGUUUGAUCGCUGUCAAUAUUAAUCACAACUCGAUUUGGUGGACUCUUUGAGUUGUCAAUUAGAUCUUCCAGAUCGUUUGCAUUGAUUGUUGCUAUCACUUGAGAUCGCCAUAGCAAAUAAUUGUUAUUAGUAAGCUUGAUAGGUGUGUUGAAGACAUGUGAGCUGAGAACAGAGGUGCUGACAUUUGAGAUUUGAUUUGUGUUUACAGUUGAGCUUGAAGCUCCAUUGUUGUUUGUUUGAUUUUCAUUACUCGCCAUUGUUGCUUCUCAAAGCUCUGAUACCAUAAGAGAAUUUUGGAUCAUAUUGAGUAAUGAAUUGUAACUAUUUUAUUAAUCUUAACAAUGUACAACUUUGCUGGUAUUUAUAGCUGUACAGCUCAGAAUCCAGCUCAUCAAUUUCGUUUUACAAAUUAACAAACUCAAGUAAAGUGUGUAUGUUAUGAUUUGAUCACAAUCAUUCAUUCAUAACUAAUUUACUACAUCACACAACAGCUGUGGAAUUUCUGUACAAUUGUUCUGCCAUCUGGAAUAUUCUUCCUCUGCACGUGUAGAUUGCAUCACUUCACUUGUGUGAGCAUCUUCCUUGGUUAACAAGUAAACUCCAGCUGGUAUCCCUACGUGAGUUGAUCCAGGUUCAGCGUCAUUCUCAAACUUAACACUCUUAAGAACAUUGAGGGCAUCCGUUGGAGCCUUCAAGAGUUUCUUUCUUCUUUUCAUGAAAUAAAUGAAUUAGUGUUCAUUUAUUCUCAAAUUUUGUUAAUUUGUUACUGGGAGUUUAUUUCUGAUCAACUACUCUCGCGGUGGAGCUAUGCUAUAAAUUUAUAUACAUGUUCAAUGGAUUACAUAUUAUAAUAUAUUAAUAGAUUGUAACCACUAAAGAAAAAAUUAAAAAAAAAAAAAAACACAAGUGAGAACAUUCAUAUUUUUGUAAAAUAUGAUUUUAUCAUGCUUAUUUUACAAUUCUAUUAUUGAGUAACACAAACAACAGAAAGGCACGGCAACUAUUUACGUAUAGUAGUAUUAGUCUUUCGGUAGAUUAAAUUUUCUCUUCAUCUUUCGAAGUUCAUAAAAAGUCUAAGCCGUUAAAAAGAUUCUAGUAACUUUCCACUUUUCUUUUUUCUUUUUUCAAUGUUUGUUACUAUUUUAUCCCAAGAAUAAAACUUAUGAUUGAUUUUUCUAAUUGAUUAAUUAUUGAGUUUUCUUUAGGUAAAUUGAUUUUUUUUGGGUUAAUCAUAAGUAUGUUUGAAGAAGUAAAAUAAAAGAAAUUAAAAAAAGGUUGAAAUUUAAUAAAAUUGUUUGUAACAUAAAAGGGUUUUGAUGGAUUUUUGAAAGAUGAGGAAAAUUGAUUAAUUUUAACAAACAAUAGGGGAGUUUUAUCAUUCUAUUCUCUCGAACAACUCAAUGUGGAGUUGGAAUUGUGCUAUAUUUAGCUGUUAUGAACUGUAUUAAUUCAAUCCAUUUUCAUAUGAAUGUUCAUUUAUGAAAGUUAGUAUAUAUAUAUAUAUGAGUUUUUAAAUUUCACACUUUCAUGCAUGCGUCUUGUUUAUGUUCUACAGUAGAAGUGAAAAACAAAAAGGGGUUUCUUUCAACUUUUUCUCUUGUCUUUCAUUGCAGAUCUCUAUCAUUGUUGGGUCGGGAUUGCUAAUUGGACCUAUUGGAGGACUGAGCCAAAUUAUAAUGUCAUCCAAAUCCUACAAAAUGUUCUCAUAGAAAUUUAGGGCCCGUUUGGUAGCAUUUUUUAUUUUUUGUUUUCAUUUUUGUUUUCAUAAUACAAACAUAAUAUGUGUUUGGUGAGAUGGAUUCAAAAAAUAAAUCACAAAAUAACAAAUUCAGAUCCAGUGUUAUAACUACAAACAUGAAAACGUGUUUAACAUGUUUCCUAAAUAUUACAAACUAAACUCAAAAAUAGAUUAAGAAACAAAACCCAUUCUCUUCGGCAGCAACCCUCUCCCCCCUCUCAUCGUUCUCGAUCUGGUCAACCCCCCCCACGGCCAUCCUCGAUCUAGUCACGGCAGCAGUGCUUUCUCCUUUUCUCCCUCCAACAACAUUUUCUUUGCCGCCGCUGCAACUUUGUCUCUACCGCAGCUGUCCUUUGGUGUGUCAUUCUCUCUCCGUCGUGGCCGUUGCCACAAAAUACGAACGUCGGCCUGCCCAGUUCCAAAUGACAGCCCAGUUCCAGGGCUACUCACAACUGGGAUCAAAGAUGUCACAUCUCGCACCUUACCAAAGUUGAAGCAAAAAGGAUUGGAAUUGCUGGAAUCACUAUUUGAGCUUUCAUCAGAUGAAUUCUCAUCCUUCGACUUGCCAAGCUGAAAUGGAGGGAACGGUCCAGCUUUCUUGGCAAACACACUGAAUCUUGGGUUCUUGACGAUGAGCCUUGAACGGGGUGUUGUAUUGAGCAGAAAUGAAUAGGAGGAAGUAAGCGUCGGGGCCAUGAAUUUUGGAUAUACAAACAGAGGAUAACAAUCAGAAGGACACUCUCCUUCUUCGAUGCAGCUGCAGUUAAGUGUUUUGUUGUAUAUACAACAAAUCUUUGGAUUGCGUACAAUCGAAUUUGGCAUUCAUUGGGUUUUAAUUUGCUUGGGAAUCUUUGUUAUGUGAGUUGCUGAACGUGUAAUGUAAUUUUCCUACUAGUGUUGAUGAUUAUUGAUUAUUGAUUAUUGUGGAAUUUAUGAUUGAAAGUGGAGGAGUGGAUUGGUGAGUCAAUGUGAAGUAGUUUUUUUUUUUUCUUUUGGCAGAGCAAAUAUUGUUUCUGGAAAGCAGUUAAACAGCUUUCUAAUUCCGUGUCUAAUAUGUUUUCAGAAUGAAUAUUCUAAAUAAAAAAAAUUGAAUAAUUAUAGUUUACGUAAGCAACGUUUAAUUUCAAUUACAUGUUGCGCUUUACAUAAUUUUAUGUAUAAUUUUAAGAGAUAUACAUAAUAAAUUUAUUUAAAUUAUUUUGUUGUAUUUAUGUAUGUAUUAGCUAAAUAUUUAUUUUAUGACUACAAAUAUAAUGUAAAUACUUAGUAAAAACUGUUUUUAAAAAAAGUAUUACCAAACGCAUAUUUUUUGUUUUAUCAUUUUCAAUUAUGCUUACCAAACGCAUAUUACUGUUUUCAGUUUUAAAAUAUAGGAUACAAAAAAUGAUACCAGACGCAUAUUUAAAUUCGAAAUACAGCAACUGCAAAACACCAUUUUUAUUUUCAUUCAAAACACCAUUUUUUACAAAUUCAAAAAUGAUACCAGACGCAUAUUUAAAUUCGAAAUACAGCAACUGCAAAACACCAUUUUUAUUUUCAUUUUUAUUCUCAAAAAAUACAAAUUCAGAAACAAUACCAAACGAGCCCUUAGAUUCUUUGUUUUCUCUCUUUUAUUGAGGGAGAAUUAGAUGUAUUCUCUAUGGUGGUAUUAUGUUUGGAAGUGAUCAAUUGGGGAAAAAAAGUUGUAUAUGUGAAUUACAAAAGAUCAAGGAUUCUGGAAUAAAGGAUAGUCUCAAAAUGAUAACGAUGACCAUUGAUAAAUGAUGAAAAAUAGAGGCGUUUCGAAAGUUACUAUAAUCUCCUGAUAAAAUCAUUAAUUUUGUUUUAUUUUUAAUGUUUUUAGUUGAGUUAAGAAGCCAGUUAACUUAAAGAAUUGUUUUCCUUUGAAAUAUCAAAGUCACUAAACCCCACUUCGUAAUUUUUUUGUCACACAAAUGCUUGACUUAUUCAUUUGAUUAAAAGAAAUAUAAAACAACUAAGAUGUUCUAGUAGAUAAUGUUGCUUAUGUUUAUAUUCAAAUUUCUUAUCAAAACACCCUUUAUUUUCCGACGCUUUCAUGCAACUAACAAAGCAAUUUCGUUGGCCUAAGGUUAAGGUUUACUUGUGGUGCUUGAUUGACUUAAAAGUCUUCGUCAACUGCAACUCAAUCACAAUAUGAACAGAAUGACCUUUUGAGGGACAUAAAUAAUACGAGCCCAUUUGAUUUGUACUGUUUCUGUUAUAAUUAAUAUUCUUUCUUCCCAUUUCAUCUUCUUUUAAGCUCAAAAGCCCGGAAAUUCUCAUAAAGCAUAUGUUAACCCCUUAAAUUUUUGACUUAAAAGCUUGAUUACAUUUUUCUUUUAUUAGUAUAUGUGCAUACCAUAUGAUCACUGUUCAACAUUAGUAAGGACUAAUUUGAAAUUGCGGUGGCUGAAGUCUUAUUUGAGAGUGGAGGUUACACUAAGGUGGUAGCCAUCACUAAGGGAGAGUCUUAUAUUUUAUAAGGUUUCAAUAGUUUGUAUUUUUUGGUGCCUAGUGAAUUACUUGAUAUUUGACUGUCGCUCUGUAAACAUAAGAAUUUGAAUUGUAGACUAUGAAAAAAUUCUCUUGUGUGCUUUACUUUUAUGUACGGUAUUUUUACACAUUUUUAUUUGUUUAAUUAACUUUUAAUUAAACUCGGUAAACCUACUUUUAUGUACGGUAUUUUUACACAUUUUUAUUUGUUUGAUUAACUUUUAAUUAAACUCGGUAAACGUACUAAAAUUGGAUCUAUCACACAAUAUUAAAAAAAUAAAUUUUAUUUUUUUACUUUCAACAUAAACUUGUAAAAAGUGUAUGAAUUAAACUACGUUAAUUUUUUAACUUUUUAUUAAUGCAUAUAAUUUAUAUUUUCAUAAGAAACCAUUUUUUUAAACUUUUUUAAGUCCUAUCAUUAAUUGCCAAAUAUCUUUAAUUAGUAUAAAAAGAAAUGUUUUUCAGGACGUUCUUUCGGAUGUGGAAAAAAUAAAGUAAACAAAACAAAAUUAAAAAUAUUUCUUUCGGAUAUUAAAAAAUAUAAAUAAUAUAUGUAAUAUAGAUACUUAUAUUUUAAUCUACUCAAAUUUUAAUCAAACUUGAAUUUAUUCAAUUUCAUAAGAAAAAAAAGGACCCUACCUAGAUAUUCUCACCGUUAAAAUUGAAUGACCAGUUGUUUAAAGGGGAAAUACAUCAAAAUUCUACACUACACAAGUCUUUUCUCCUGUACAUUCUCGUCUUUUCUUCUCAUGUUGGUUUCAUACAGGGACUGCUAUGCCGAUUGCGGGACCUUGCGGAAUAAAUGGGAAAAAACUGUUCACACGAAAGAAACAUUGAACAACUUUUUUAAAAUUGAAUAAAUGGUAUGCCGAUUGCAUCCUGAUCUUUGAUCUUUUUCAUGCACUGUAUGUCAAUUUAUAACAUUGAACAACUUUUUUAAAAAUCAGCAAAAAAUUCUAAUCAUCAUUAUUUUCACGCGAAAGAAAGACUUUUCAGCCAAACAAAUUUUAGAAAUUUCCACACAAGUUGCAAAGGUGACAGAACUGUCACUCUUAAGAUAGCUUUGCUUACAAAAGAAAGAUUCAGCAUUUCAAUUUCUUGGCACCAUGGCAUGUAGUAUCCUGGAAGGUAGAGCUGGCAAAAUUUGACACGAUCCGAUUACCCGACACGAACACGACACGAAUAAAUGGGUAUGGGUCGUCGAAUUUAACACGAUUAUUAAAUGGGUUGGGUCCGGGUCGACACGAUUUUUUUUCGUGUCGGGUUAGGGUUAAAGUUUUUGACCCAUUUAUCCUAUCAAUUACCCAAUUAUAUUUUUUAUUUUAAAAUAAUUUGUAGGUUCUUGUUAUCAAAACUCAAAUAUUAGAGAUGAUUCUCUCUUUUAUUUUUAUUUUUUGAAAAGAUGAAUAUAAACACAGUAUUUUAUUUAUAAAAUUUUAUAUACAUUUAGAGCUUCAAUAACGUAAAUGUGUAAAGUAAAAUAUUGUUAGACAUGUAUAUUUUAUAAUAUCGAUAAAUAAUAUUAUAUAUAUAUAGUGUAAAUGUGUAAUAUUUUGGUAGAUAUGUACAUUUUAUAAUAUUGAUAAAUUAUGUAUGUAUUUAUGUAUGUAAGUCAGUGUAAAUGUUUGAUGUAAAUUUUAUUUAAUAUAUAGAUAUUAAGCGAGUUAUUGGAUAACCUGAUUAUUUUUCCGUAUCGGGUCUGGGUCGACCUAAAUUUGACACGACACAAAGCUGACACGACACGAACACAACUCGAUGACCCGUUUUGCCAGCUCUACUGGAAGGUGGAAGUUUACUUCUCUUCCGUUUCGUUUUUCCACUUCAAAUUAAUUAAAUUUUCCUGAUCAUCUCUUUCUGCCCCUCCCCUAUAUAAGCAUCGACUCAUUCCCUCUUUAUCAUCAUCUCUCUACAUACAGCUGUAUGACAAUGGCAACCUUCUUGAGUUGUGCAUUCAUUUUCUUCUUCCUUUGUCUCUCAGUUAUCUCUCCAGCAGGGGCUCAAACUGGAGGGUUCAGUGUUGAACUGAUCCACCGUGACUCUCCAAAGUCUCCCUUCUAUAACCCUAAUGAAACUCCCUACCAACGGUUGAGAAAUGCUUUGAAUCGUUCUGCCAAUCGUCUCAGUCACUUCAAUAAAAACUCAUCAGUCUCUUCAUCAAAAGUUUCCCAAGCUGAUAUAAUACCUAAUGGUGGUGACUAUCUCAUUCGUAUAUCAAUAGGUACUCCCCCUGUUGAAAUACUAGCUGUGGCUGACACAGGAAGUGAUCUCAUAUGGACACAGUGUCAACCCUGCCCACCAUCACAAUGUUACAAGCAAGAUAAUCCACUUUUUGAUCCUCAAAAGUCUUCCACUUACAAAUAUCUUUCUUGCUCAUCGAGCCAAUGCGCACCACCGAUCAAAGAUUCUUGCUCUGCAGAGGGGAAUUGCAAAUAUUCAGUCCGCUACGGAGACCAAGAAUCUUUCUCAAAAGGCGAUCUAGCUACCGAAACUGUUACUUUGGGAUCAACAUCCGGACAGGCCGUGGCUCUGCCAGAAAUAGUCUUUGGCUGCGGAACAAAAAAUGAUGGGAAAUUUAAUUCCAAAACUGAUGGCAUCGUUGGCCUUGGGGGAGGUGAUGCUUCCCUUAUUUCUCAAAUAAGAACUACAAUUGCAGGUAAAUUCUCCUACUGCUUGGUGCAACAAAGCUCAACCAAAAUCAAUUUUGGCACCAAUGGAAUUGUUUCAGGUUCUGGCGUAGUUUCUACUCCCUUGCUUGUUAAGAAUCCCAAAACCUUCUAUUACCUCACACUCGAUGCAAUCAGUGUAGGAGAUCAAAGACUAGGUGUUAUUUCAGGAUCAACUCCGGGAGGAGACAUUGUAAUUGAUUCUGGUACUACACUUACCUAUUUACCACCAGCUUAUGCCUCAACAUUGCUUUCAGUAAUGUCCAGUAUGAUAGCUGCACAACCCGUUGAAG